Molecule: long non-coding RNA, 623 nt
Organism: Polypterus senegalus (gray bichir)
Lineage: Eukaryota; Metazoa; Chordata; Cladistia; Polypteriformes; Polypteridae
Exons: 3
Source: RefSeq, a predicted model, not a curated record
UGUGUGCUGUCCGUUACUGUCGGGGGCUUCCACUUAGAUUCUGGCGGAGGAGCCUUUCGCAGUUUAGGAUUGGGAGUUGUGACUGAACGGGAUUAACUACAUGGGCGGGAUACUGAAGGUCUGUUGGCAGCCAAUGAGGAGUCGGAGUGCCGAAAUUAAAAAAGCGAGAAGGCAGUGAGAGAGAGGAAGAGUUGCUUUACGUUACAAGUGAUUGAUACAGGAUGGACAUUAUGAACGCCUAGGAAAAUAAAAGGUAGAAACGUCUCGCCCAAACGCUGGGUCAAGGUUACUGUGAAAUCACGUGAAGUGAGCUUCAUAGUGAUGAUCCAAAUGUAUGUGGUCCACAGCGCACCCCUGAAAGCUCUGAUUCUGCUGUAGGCAAUCUACAAGCUGAAGACCGUCAAGACGUCAAAGAAAUGACUGACUUGGAGCAAAAAUUUCUACGCACCGCUAUUGCUGAUCUCUUGCCUGACCUUCCGGAAGCCACAAAAGAUAUUCUAGAAGAGAACUUGCGAUCCUUUGAGGUGGAGACAUAUGAUGAUUUUCAGUGUAUUGAGGAAGCCAAUUUGCUGUCAGCGUUGAGGCUGGUUCAAGUCAGGAAAGUCCUUGCUGCUGGGAAGCUG